Molecule: ribosomal RNA, 447 nt
Filed under: uncultured bacterium
Lineage: Bacteria
Description: bacterial SSU rRNA
Rfam family: Bacterial small subunit ribosomal RNA
Source: RNAcentral
UCGGGAAUUUUGGGCAAUGGGCGAAAGCCUGACCCAGCAACGCCGCGUGAAGGAUGAAGUAUUUCGGUAUGUAAACUUCGAAAGAAUAGGAAGAAUAAAUGACGGUACUAUUUAUAAGGUCCGGCUAACUACGUGCCAGCAGCCGCGGUAAUACGUAGGGACCAAGCGUUGUUCGGAUUUACCGGGCGUAAAGGGCGCGUAGGCGGCAAUUCAAGUCAUCUGUGAAAUCUCCGGGCUUAACUCGGAACGGUCAGAUGAUACUGCUUUGCUAGAGUGCAGAAGGGGCAAUCGGAAUUCUUGGUGUAGCGGUGAAAUGCGUAGAUAUCAAGAGGAACACCUGAGGUGAAGACGGGUUGCUGGGCUGACACUGACGCUGAGGCGCGAAAGCCAGGGGAGCAAACGGGAUUAGAUACCCCCGUAGUCCCUGAGCGGGCUGGCAAGGCGCAU